AAAUUUCAUAUUUUUUAAAAUUAUAUUUUAACCUCUAAAAUUUUCUAAAAUUAUAGUUUGACCCCUAACUUUCCUAAAAUUACAUUUUGAAUCCUAAACUUUUUCUAUUUACAUUUUGACCCUUAAAUUUUCCUAAAAUUAUAUUUUGACCCCAAAAGUUUUGCAUACCCUACAAUCUGGUCCUCCUGUCAGAAAAUCCUCAGCCGCCAGGCGCAACUUGCACACCUGUAGUCCAGCGACCGACCUAGGCUCGUGAUGGCCUCCCUAGCUACCUGCUUCCUACAAGAAAAUCAAAAAUAAAAGCAAGAAAAUCAACCAAAAAAGAGCGGCCAAAAAAAAAACAAGCAAAAAAAGAGAGAAAAGCACCAGCAAAAAAUAAAAAAACCGCAAGAAACUAAGGAAAUUUCGGUCUUUUCCCCACAACCACUGAGGGUGGAGGAGAACUGAACGACGAGUGGCGGAUUGGGGCGGUGGUGACGCCUUCAAAGUUGGGGAUUUCGAAAAUAGAUGAGAAGGAAAAAGAGGAAAAGAAAAGAAAGGAGAAAAGAGGGGAGUGCCGGAGGGCGUGCACCGCCAGACGGAGGAAGCAUCGGCGGUGGGGGUUAAGUUAGGGUUAGGGUGAAAGAAAGAAAGAAGAAAGGAAGAAAAAAAGAAAAAAAAGAAAGAAAAAAAAGAAAAAAAUAAAAGAACAGUUGGGCCAACCCGAACCGACCGGCGCGACCUGACCUACCCGAGGGACCCGCACCAGUCAACAGGCUGACCCAGCAUCCAGCAUCAAACAAACCAAACCCAGGCAGCACCACCAGGCCGGCCUAAAACAGCAAGCCCACAAUCAGCAGCAGGUCGACCCAGCGGCCCAAUCAGCAAGAAAAGAAAAAAACAGCAGCAGCCCAGAUUCGGCAGGCCCGUCCCAGCGGCCCAGCAAAGCAGCAGGCCUGUCCAGUCCAAGCCCAGCAGUUUCAGCCCAGCGGCC
RNAcentral lists this long non-coding RNA (973 nucleotides) under Gossypium raimondii (Peruvian cotton). RNAcentral's name for it is "long non-coding RNA (GRAI_LNC003375)". The record is from RNAcentral. Lineage: Eukaryota; Viridiplantae; Streptophyta; Magnoliopsida; Malvales; Malvaceae.